Molecule: long non-coding RNA, 666 nt
Organism: Pan paniscus (pygmy chimpanzee)
Lineage: Eukaryota; Metazoa; Chordata; Mammalia; Primates; Hominidae
Source: Ensembl
CCCUAACAAAGAUGUGAUGUGUGAAGGAUGCUUACUUACCCAGACUAUGACCUUUGCCAUUCUAGGGAGAGUUACAGGAAUAGUGCAGGGUUUAAGAUAUUAUCCUACACAGAUGGAAGACCAACCAGAGCAGCCCUAAUUUUCCAUGAGUUUUUCCCACUUCAGGACAUGGAACUGAUGGCAGCAGGAGGCAGACAAAUCCUAGGCAGACAGAGCCAGGUCCAUGGUAAAACCAGACCUUCAAGCCUAUGACAGUUUAAAGCCUAGCUACAAGUCUCAGGUAAAUCCUUGGACUGGAUUGAGAGCCUCUCUUCCCAUUUGGAGUGCUUUCCUCUAACUGAUCCCCACCAUUCACCUAUUUUACAUAUACCUCCCCUUCCCUAAUUUGUUUUCUACACUGUCUUGGCCAUCUUUGAGCCAUACCUUUGUUUUAACCCUUUUUGCAUAUUCACAAACCCAUCUGAGCCUAUAAAACCCUUGGACUCAGCUGUACUGGGAGAGAGACCACCCGGCUUUGGGUGGGAAACCACCCCUGCAUUCCCUUUCCACUGAGAGCUGUUUUGUCACUCAAUAAAAUUCUUCUCCAUCCUCCUGACCCUUCAAUUAUCAGCGUAACCUCAUUCUUCUUGGAUGUGGUGCAAGAAUUUGGAACACAUCAAAUGCAGG